This 54-nucleotide transfer RNA is filed under the name Kluyveromyces lactis. RNAcentral describes it as "partial transfer RNA". Lineage: Eukaryota; Fungi; Ascomycota; Saccharomycetes; Saccharomycetales; Saccharomycetaceae. The record is from RNAcentral.
GGAAUCGAACCCGGGGCCCAACGAUGGCAACGUUGGAUUUUACCACUAAACCAC